UGCGUAGGCGGAAGAUUAAGUCAGUGGUGAAAUCCUGCAGCUCAACUGUAGAACUGUCAUUGAUACUGAUUUUCUUGAAUACAGUAGAGGUAGGCGGAAUAUGUAAUGUAGCGGUGAAAUGCUUAGAUAUUACACAGAACACCGAUUGCGAAGGCAGCUUACUAAGCUAUGAUUGACGCUGAGGUACGAAAGCGUGGGGAGCGAACAGGAUUAGAUACCCUGGUAGUCC
This 229-nucleotide ribosomal RNA is filed under the name uncultured bacterium. Its description in RNAcentral is "partial 16S ribosomal RNA". It matches the Rfam family "Bacterial small subunit ribosomal RNA", at positions 568 to 796 of the family's 1533-position model. The record is from RNAcentral.